GAUGAAGAACGUAGCGAAAUGCGAUAAGUAGUGUGAAUUGCAGAAUUCAGUGAAUCAUCGAAUCUUUGAACGCACAUUGCGGCCAUAGGUAUUCCUUUGGCCAUGCCUGUUCGAGCGUCAUUUACACCCUCAAGCCUAGCUUGGUGUUGGGCGUCUGUCCCGCCGUUCUCGCGCGCGGACUCGCCUCAAAGUCAUUGGCGGCGGUCGUGCCGGCCCCCUCGCGCAGCACAUUUGCGCUUCUCGGAGGCCCGGCGGAUCCGCGCUCCAGCAAGACCUUUCACGACUUGACCUCGGAUCAGGUAGGGAUACCCGCUGAACUUAAGCAUAUCAAUAGGCGGAGGA
RNAcentral lists this unclassified non-coding RNA (342 nucleotides) under soil metagenome. RNAcentral's name for it is "partial contains 5.8S ribosomal RNA, internal transcribed spacer 2, and large subunit ribosomal RNA". The stretch from base 1 to 120 matches the Rfam family "5.8S ribosomal RNA", at positions 35 to 154 of the family's 154-position model. The record is from RNAcentral.